Molecule: transfer RNA, 71 nt
Filed under: Marmota marmota marmota (Alpine marmot)
Lineage: Eukaryota; Metazoa; Chordata; Mammalia; Rodentia; Sciuridae
Also listed under: 1 other name
Rfam family: tRNA
About the family: Transfer RNA (tRNA) molecules are approximately 80 nucleotides in length. Their secondary structure includes four short double-helical elements and three loops (D, anti-codon, and T loops). Further hydrogen bonds mediate the characteristic L-shaped molecular structure. tRNAs have two regions of fundamental functional importance: the anti-codon, which is responsible for specific mRNA codon recognition, and the 3' end, to which the tRNAs corresponding amino acid is attached (by aminoacyl-tRNA synthetases). tRNAs cope with the degeneracy of the genetic code in two manners: having more than one tRNA (with a specific anti-codon) for a particular amino acid; and 'wobble' base-pairing, i.e. permitting non-standard base-pairing at the 3rd anti-codon position.
Source: Rfam by way of RNAcentral
GGGGUUGUAGCUCAGCGGUAGAGCGCUCGCCUAGCACGUGUGAGGCGCUGGGUUCCAUCCUAGGAACCACA